RNAcentral lists this ribosomal RNA (838 nucleotides) under Variovorax paradoxus. RNAcentral's name for it is "bacterial SSU rRNA". It matches the Rfam family "Bacterial small subunit ribosomal RNA", at positions 47 to 883 of the family's 1533-position model. The record is from RNAcentral. Lineage: Bacteria; Pseudomonadati; Pseudomonadota; Betaproteobacteria; Burkholderiales; Comamonadaceae.
CCUUCCAUGCAAGUCGAACGGCAGCGCGGGAGCAAUCCUGGCGGCGAGUGGCGAACGGGUGAGUAAUACAUCGGAACGUGCCCAAUCGUGGGGGAUAACGCAGCGAAAGCUGUGCUAAUACCGCAUACGAUCUACGGAUGAAAGCAGGGGAUCGCAAGACCUUGCGCGAAUGGAGCGGCCGAUGGCAGAUUAGGUAGUUGGUGAGGUAAAGGCUCACCAAGCCUUCGAUCUGUAGCUGGUCUGAGAGGACGACCAGCCACACUGGGACUGAGACACGGCCCAGACUCCUACGGGAGGCAGCAGUGGGGAAUUUUGGACAAUGGGCGAAAGCCUGAUCCAGCAAUGCCGCGUGCAGGAUGAAGGCCUUCGGGUUGUAAACUGCUUUUGUACGGAACGAAAAGGCUCUUUCUAAUAAAGAGGGCUCAUGACGGUACCGUAAGAAUAAGCACCGGCUAACUACGUGCCAGCAGCCGCGGUAAUACGUAGGGUGCGAGCGUUAAUCGGAAUUACUGGGCGUAAAGCGUGCGCAGGCGGUGAUGUAAGACAGUUGUGAAAUCCCCGGGCUCAACCUGGGAACUGCAUCUGUGACUGCAUCGCUGGAGUGCGGCAGAGGGGGAUGGAAUUCCGCGUGUAGCAGUGAAAUGCGUAGAUAUGCGGAGGAACACCGAUGGCGAAGGCAAUCCCCUGGGCCUGCACUGACGCUCAUGCACGAAAGCGUGGGGAGCAAACAGGAUUAGAUACCCUGGUAGUCCACGCCCUAAACGAUGUCAACUGGUUGUUGGGUCUUCACUGACUCAGUAACGAAGCUAACGCGUGAAGUUGACCGCCUGGGGAGUAC